This 401-nucleotide ribosomal RNA is filed under the name uncultured bacterium. RNAcentral's name for it is "bacterial SSU rRNA". It matches the Rfam family "Bacterial small subunit ribosomal RNA", at positions 28 to 417 of the family's 1533-position model. The record is from RNAcentral.
GAUGAACGCUAGCGGGAGGCUUAAUACAUGCAAGUCGAGCGGCAGCGCGUCCGACCACCCUCGGGUGGUCGGAUGGCGGCGAGCGGCGGACGGGUGAGGAAUGCAUCGGAAUCUGCCUCGUUGUGGGGGAUAACGUAGGGAAACUUACGCUAAUACCGCAUACGACCUACGGGUGAAAGUGGGGGACCUUCGGGCCUCACGCGAUGAGAUGAGCCGAUGCCGGAUUAGCUAGUUGGCGGGGUAAAGGCCCACCAAGGCGACGAUCCGUAGCUGGUCUGAGAGGAUGAUCAGCCACACUGGAACUGAGACACGGUCCAGACUCCUACGGGAGGCAGCAGUGGGGAAUAUUGGACAAUGGGCGCAAGCCUGAUCCAGCAAUGCCGCGUGUGUGAAGAAGGCCU